CAUACGUCCACUCUUCGCCGCGAAGUAGAUCCCUUCGCCUGAACAUUUCGUCACGUAUCCUGCUGCAUCCCCAACUAAUGCGACUCUGUCUUGUAAUCUUCUUGGCCUUGGGUGUUCUGGAAUUGGAUGAGCCUCAACUCGGAUGAUUUUUCCGCCGGUGAUUUUGGAAUCGGCUCUCAGUCUUGUGGCUAGCUGGAAUUUCUUAAUGUCUGCUUUGUGGGUAACGGUGCCUGUGCCGACGGCAACGUGGUCACAUUUAGGGAAAACCCAACCGUAAAAAUCAGGGGAUACGUCAUCGCCGACAUACAUUUCAGCUAAAUUCUCGUAGUACUUCAUUUUAUCAUCGGAAAUUCUAAUUCGUUCCUGGAAGGCAAUGGCGUACUCGUAGUCCCCAGCGUUGAUGGAUUUUGCGACACGGGAAUUUGCGCCGUCUGCGCCGAUAACGGCGUCAACUUCCAGGGUGCACUUCUCACCGGCGCCGUUAGUUUUGGAAUCGUAAGAUGUGUAGUGUAGGACGUAUGGUGAAUUUGGGGCUUUUGGCAUGUCCAUUCUGAGAAACAAGCCGUUGAGAACAGAAGCUCCGGCUUCAGCAGCACGGUCCCGGAGGUAGGCAUCGAGUACUUCGCGGCGCACCAUACCGAUAUACUCGUGAGGCUUCAGAGUCUGUCCGAUAUCGACGGCGACGUUGGAUGGGGAAAUCAUCUUCAUCUUGGUAACUUUCCGAUCGAUGAUAUCGAGAGGUAGAUCGAAUUCGCCCACCAUGCAGAGUGGGAUGGCACCACCGCAGGGUUUGCAGUUGUCCAUCUUGCGUUCUAUCAAAAAGGUCUCAAUUCCACCCUUAGCGAGCGUCUCUGCAGCGGCGCCACCAGCAGGACCACCACCAAUCACCGCAACGCGAAGGUUUCUGCCGGUGACUCUUGGGCUGGACUUCGAAGCAUUGAUACGUAGCCUACGGUGGGUGUGGUUGGUAGGGAGGGAUUUAGAGAUUUUAAUAGAGUUGUUUUCCGGCGAGGAUUGACGGAGGCCGAUGAAAGUUUUGAGAGCAAUUGAAG
Molecule: unclassified non-coding RNA, 1052 nt
Filed under: Hevea brasiliensis (rubber tree)
Lineage: Eukaryota; Viridiplantae; Streptophyta; Magnoliopsida; Malpighiales; Euphorbiaceae
Source: RNAcentral